This 415-nucleotide ribosomal RNA is filed under the name uncultured bacterium. RNAcentral describes it as "bacterial SSU rRNA". It matches the Rfam family "Bacterial small subunit ribosomal RNA", at positions 355 to 794 of the family's 1533-position model. The record is from RNAcentral.
UGGGGAAUAUUGGACAAUGGGCGCAAGCCUGAUCCAGCAAUGCCGCGUGGAUGAAGAAGGUCUUCGGAUUGUAAAGUCCUUUCGGCGGGGACGCGGUACCCGCAGAAGAAGCCCCGGCUAACUUCGUGCCAGCAGCCGCGGUAAUACGAAGGGGGCUAGCGUUGCUCGGAAUUACUGGGCGUAAAGGGCGCGUAGGCGGCCCGGUUUGUCAGGCGUGAAAUUCCUGGGCUCAACCUGGGGGCUGCGCUUGAGACGGCUGGGCUAGAGGUCAGAAGAGGCUCGUGGAAUUCCCCGUGUAGAGGUGAAAUUCGUAGAUAUUGGGAAGAACACCGGUGGCGAAGGCGGCGAGCUGGUCUGAUACUGACGCUGAGGCGCGACAGCGUGGGGAGCAAACAGGAUUAGAUACCCUUGUAGU